RNAcentral lists this ribosomal RNA (253 nucleotides) under uncultured bacterium. RNAcentral describes it as "partial 16S ribosomal RNA". It matches the Rfam family "Bacterial small subunit ribosomal RNA", at positions 524 to 776 of the family's 1533-position model. The record is from RNAcentral.
UACGUAGGUGGCAAGCGUUGUCCGGAUUUACUGGGCGUAAAGAGCGCGCAGGCGGUCGUUCAAGUCGCGUGGGAAAGCCCCCGGCUCAACUGGGGAGGGUCACGCGAUACUGAUCGACUCGAAGGCAGGAGAGGGAAGUGGAAUUCCCGGUGUAGUGGUGAAAUGCGUAGAUAUCGGGAGGAACACCAGUGGCGAAGGCGACUUCCUGGCCUGUUCUUGACGCUGAGGCGCGAAAGCUAGGGGAGCAAACGGG